GAGAGUAUAGCUCAGUGGCAGAGUGUGUGCUUAGCAUGCACGAGGUGCUGGGUUCAAUCCCCAGUGCCUCCA
RNAcentral lists this transfer RNA (72 nucleotides) under Camelus bactrianus (Bactrian camel). It matches the Rfam family "tRNA". From Rfam's summary of the family: Transfer RNA (tRNA) molecules are approximately 80 nucleotides in length. The record is from Rfam by way of RNAcentral. Lineage: Eukaryota; Metazoa; Chordata; Mammalia; Artiodactyla; Camelidae. RNAcentral also lists the same sequence under 1 other name.